AUUGAACGCUGGCGGCAUGCCUUACACAUGCAAGUCGAACGGUAACGGGCCUUCGGGUGCCGACGAGUGGCGAACGGGUGAGUAAUACUCGGAAAGGUCCCGGACCGUGGGGGUAAAGAGGCGGAAGGCUUGGUAAAACCCCCAUCGGACCAACGAUGAAAACAGGGGGCCGGCAGGGCUUUGCGCGGACGGAGGGGCGGAUGGCAGAUUAGGUAGUUGGGGGGUUAAAAGCUUACCAAGCCGACGAUCUGUAGCUGGUCUGAGAGGAUGAUCAGCCACACUGGGACUGAGACACGGCCCAGACUCCUACGGGAGGCAGCAGUGGGGAAUUUUGGACAAUGGGCGCAAGCCUGAUCCAGCCAUGCCGCGUGCAGGAUGAAGGCCUUCGGGUUGUAAACUGCUUUUGUACGGAACGAAAAGCCUUCUUUUAAUACAGGAGGGUCAUGACGGUACCGUAAGAAUAAGCACCGGCUAACUACGUG
Molecule: ribosomal RNA, 482 nt
Filed under: uncultured bacterium
Lineage: Bacteria
Description: partial 16S ribosomal RNA
Rfam family: Bacterial small subunit ribosomal RNA
Source: RNAcentral